Molecule: long non-coding RNA, 443 nt
Organism: Asparagus officinalis (garden asparagus)
Lineage: Eukaryota; Viridiplantae; Streptophyta; Magnoliopsida; Asparagales; Asparagaceae
Exons: 3
Source: RefSeq, a predicted model, not a curated record
GUUCCGUCCCCAUUUUUUUCUUUCCUUUUUUUUGUUCGGUCCCCAGCAAGCAAAAAACCGCCCUCCCCUUCAUUUUUUUUUCUUCGGUUUUGAAAACAGAGAACUUCCCCCUUCAACUUCGGUUUUGUGCUCUCCUUCUCCAAGGACUUCAUCCUCUUCUUCUUCAAGCCUUCUAAACUCUUCAAAGCUUCAUCUUUCCCUCAUCCUCUCCAAAGCUUCAAGCAAAGAAAGUUGGGUUUGGAGGAUCUUCAUCAACAACAAAGUCUCCUCUUCAAGGAUUCUCCAAGCUUUGGUUUCCGAUGCCUCCACGCCGAUCUCGACUUCCUAGGAGUCGAUCCCAUUCGCAGCCUAGCGAGGAAGAAGUUCCCGCAGCAUCCUCCCCUCCAGCGGCUUCCUUUUUUGGGGUCGAGUUCCCCGCGGGCAGCCUUCCUCCUCAUGCUAAU